Molecule: ribosomal RNA, 352 nt
Filed under: uncultured bacterium
Lineage: Bacteria
Description: partial 16S ribosomal RNA
Rfam family: Bacterial small subunit ribosomal RNA
Source: RNAcentral
CCUACGGGAGGCAGCAGUGAGGAAUAUUGGUCAAUGGCCGGAAGGCUGAACCAGCCAUGCCGCGUGAAGGUCAGUGCCCUAUGGGCGUUAAACUUCUUUUGUUCGGGAGCAAUAAUGGGCACGUGUGGCCAGACGAGAGGACCGUACGAAUAAGCAGCGGCGAACUCCGUGCCAGCAGCCGCGGGAAUACGGGGGAUGCAAGCGGUAUCCGGAGUUAUUGGGUUUCAAGGGGGCGUAGGCGGUGAGGUAAGUCAGCGGGGAAAUGCCCCCGCUCAACGGGGGGAAGGGCCAGUGAUACUGCCUUGCUGGCCUGCGGAUGCCGUGGGCGGCAUGUGUGGUGUAGCGGUGCAAU